This 671-nucleotide ribosomal RNA is filed under the name uncultured bacterium. RNAcentral describes it as "bacterial SSU rRNA". It matches the Rfam family "Bacterial small subunit ribosomal RNA", at positions 94 to 803 of the family's 1533-position model. The record is from RNAcentral.
AGUGGCGCACGGGUGAGGAACACGUGGGAACAUACCCUUUGGUAGGGAAUAAUGUCUGGAAACGGACACUAAUACCCUAUAAUGACUUCGGUCCAAAGAUUUAUCGCCAAAGGAUUGGCCCGCGCAUGAUUAGAUAGUUGGUGAGGUAAUGGCUCACCAAGUCUGCGAUCAUUAGCUGGUCUGAGAGGAUGAUCAGCCACACUGGGACUGAGACACGGCCCAGACUCCUACGGGAGGCAGCAGUGAGGAAUAUUGGACAAUGGAGGAAACUCUGAUCCAGCCAUGCCGCGUGAGUGAAGAAGGCCUUAGGGUUGUAAAGCUCUUUCAAUAGUGAAGAUAAUGACGGUAGCUAUAGAAGAAGCUCCGGCUAAAUUCGUGCCAGCAGCCGCGGUAAUACGAAUGGAGCAAGCGUUGUUCGGAAUCACUGGGCUUAAAGCGUGCGCAGGCGGACUUGAAAGUCAGGAGUGAAAUCCCAGGGCUCAACCCUGGAACUGCUUCUGAAACUCCAAGUCUAGAAUCCGAUAGAGGUUAGGGGAAUUCCUAGUGUAGAGGUGAAAUUCGCAGAUAUUAGGAGGAACACCAGUGGCGUAGCGCCUAACUGGGUCGGUAUUGACGCUCAUGUACGAAGCGUGGGGAGCAACAGGAUUAGAUACCCUGGUAGUCCACGCCGA